This 81-nucleotide transfer RNA is filed under the name Fidelibacterota bacterium. RNAcentral describes it as "tRNA-Gln". The record is from RNAcentral. Lineage: Bacteria; Pseudomonadati; Fidelibacterota.
GGGGCAACCGUUUCUGUGGUUCUCGUUGUGAAAUCAGCGGACUCUGACUCCGUCAAUCUAGGUUCGAAUCCUAGUUCCCCA